GUACUCGCUUCCUUGGCACAUAUAUUAAAAUUGAUAUCAAUACGAGAAGAUCAGCCUGGCCCCUCUGCAAGGACGUCAUGUGAAUACCCCUAUAAAUCUCACUUUGUA
Small nuclear RNA from Schistocerca nitens (vagrant locust), 108 nucleotides. Lineage: Eukaryota; Metazoa; Arthropoda; Insecta; Orthoptera; Acrididae. The record is from RefSeq and is a predicted model, not a curated record.